This 247-nucleotide long non-coding RNA is filed under the name Vigna radiata. RNAcentral describes it as "long non-coding RNA (VRAD_LNC009066)". Lineage: Eukaryota; Viridiplantae; Streptophyta; Magnoliopsida; Fabales; Fabaceae. The record is from RNAcentral.
GACGGUGUCAGCGUGACUUCGGUGUUGUGGUGGUGCGUUGACGGUGUUGUUGCGGCGUGACCAGUGUUUCCACUGUCGCAGGGUGAGGCCAGUGUAGUGGUCGUCUCUUUCUUCACAGACUUCCCUCACUUUCUUCACGCACUUUCAUCACUGGUGGUGGCCCUUGACAGUGCGUGUUGGUGCUGGUUCGUCGUGGGUUGAUUGCUGCAUUGAGGGGUUGGGGUGUGGAGGUUGAGGAACUUCGUUG